RNAcentral lists this transfer RNA (77 nucleotides) under Puccinia triticina. RNAcentral's name for it is "tRNA-Ser". It matches the Rfam family "tRNA". Rfam says of the family: Transfer RNA (tRNA) molecules are approximately 80 nucleotides in length. Their secondary structure includes four short double-helical elements and three loops (D, anti-codon, and T loops). RNAcentral also lists the same sequence under 1 other name. The record is from RNAcentral. Lineage: Eukaryota; Fungi; Basidiomycota; Pucciniomycetes; Pucciniales; Pucciniaceae.
GUGUACUUAGCUCAAUGGUUAACUUAGAGCAUCACUCAUGAAUGCUGAGUAUGUGAGUUUGACUCUCACAGUACACA